UGCCUACGGGAGGCAGCAGUGGGGAAUAUUGCACAAUGGGGGAAACCCUGAUGAAGCGACGCCGCGUGAGCGAAGAAGUAUUACGGUAUGUAAAGCUCUAUCAGCAGGGAAGAAAAUGACGGUACCUGACUAAGAAGCUCCGGCUAAAUACGUGCCAGCAGCCGCGGUAAUACGUAUGGAGCAAGCGUUAUCCGGAUUUACUGGGUGUAAAGGGAGCGUAGGCGGUAAGGCAAGUCUGAUGUGAAAGACCAGGGCUGAACCCUGGGACUGCAUUGGAACCUGUUUAACUGGAGUGUCGGAGAUGG
RNAcentral lists this ribosomal RNA (305 nucleotides) under uncultured bacterium. RNAcentral's name for it is "bacterial SSU rRNA". It matches the Rfam family "Bacterial small subunit ribosomal RNA", at positions 335 to 658 of the family's 1533-position model. The record is from RNAcentral.